GUGCUCACUUUGGCAGCACGUAUACUAAAAUUGGAAUGAUACAGAAAGAAGAUUAGCAUGGCCCUUGCACAAGGAUGACAUGCAAAUUCAUGAAGCCUUCCAUAUUUCU
Molecule: small nuclear RNA, 109 nt
Filed under: Dasypus novemcinctus (nine-banded armadillo)
Lineage: Eukaryota; Metazoa; Chordata; Mammalia; Cingulata; Dasypodidae
Source: RNAcentral